GAUGAACGCUGGCGGCGUGCCUAAUACAUGCAAGUCGAGCGAACAGAUAAGGGGCUUGCUCCUUUGACGUUAGCGGCGGACGGGUGAGUAACACGUGGGUAACCUACCUAUAAGACUGGGAUAACUUCGGGAAACCGGAGCUAAUACCGGAUAACAUUUGGAACCGCAUGGUUCUAAAGUGAAAGAUGGUUUUGCUAUCACUUAUAGAUGGACCCGCGCCGUAUUAGCUAGUUGGUAAGGUAACGGCUUACCAAGGCAACGAUACGUAGCCGACCUGAGAGGGUGAUCGGCCACACUGGAACUGAGACACGGUCCAGACUCCUACGGGAGGCAGCAGUAGGGAAUCUUCCGCAAUGGGCGAAAGCCUGACGGAGCAACGCCGCGUGAGUGAUGAAGGGUUUCGGCUCGUAAAACUCUGUUAUUAGGGAAGAACAAACGUGUAAGUAACUGUGCACGUCUUGACGGUACCUAAUCAGAAAGCCACGGCUAACUACGUG
Molecule: ribosomal RNA, 497 nt
Filed under: uncultured bacterium
Lineage: Bacteria
Description: partial 16S ribosomal RNA
Rfam family: Bacterial small subunit ribosomal RNA
Source: RNAcentral